GGCGUGCCUAACACAUGCAAGUCGAACGAGAAAGCAGGCUUCGGUCUGCAAGUACAGUGGCAUACGGGUGAGUAACACGUGGGUAACCUGCCCGGAGGUGGGGGACAACUCUUCGAAAGGGGAGCUAAUACCGCAUGACAUCCCUAGGAUCUCGGUCCAUGGGAUCAAAGUUUGCCUCUGUUUCAUGCAAACGCCACCGGAGGGACCCGCGCCCCAUUAGCUUGAUGGUGAGGUAACGGCUCACCAUGGCUACGAUGGGUAGCCGGCCUGAGAGGGUGAUCGGCCACACUGGAACUGAGACACGGUCCAGACUCCUACGGGAGGCAGCAGUGAGGAACUUUGCGCAAUGGGGGAAACCCUGACGCAGCGACGCCGCGUGGAGGACGAAGGCCUUCGGGUCGUAAACUCCUGUCAAGAGGGACGAAUCCCCAACGAAUGAAUAAGUCGAUGGGUUGACGGUACCUCUGAAGGAAGCCCCGGCUAACUCCGUGCCAGCAGCCGCGGUAAUACGGAGGGGGCAAGCGUUGUUCGGAAUUAUUGGGCGUAAAGGGCACGUAGGCGGUCAAGCAAGUUGGUGGUGAAAGCCCUCGGCUCAACCGAGGAACUGCCCCCCAAAACUGCUUGACUUGGGUCCCGGAGAGGGUGACGGAAUUCCCAGUGUAGCGGUGAAUGCGUAGAUAUUGGGGAGGAAACAUCAGUGGCGAAAGGCGG
This 711-nucleotide ribosomal RNA is filed under the name uncultured bacterium. RNAcentral describes it as "bacterial SSU rRNA". It matches the Rfam family "Bacterial small subunit ribosomal RNA", at positions 41 to 724 of the family's 1533-position model. The record is from RNAcentral.